Molecule: transfer RNA, 83 nt
Filed under: Schistocephalus solidus
Lineage: Eukaryota; Metazoa; Platyhelminthes; Cestoda; Diphyllobothriidea; Diphyllobothriidae
Rfam family: tRNA
About the family: Transfer RNA (tRNA) molecules are approximately 80 nucleotides in length. Their secondary structure includes four short double-helical elements and three loops (D, anti-codon, and T loops).
Source: Rfam by way of RNAcentral
AGCCUCGUAGCUCAGUUGGCUAGAGCGUUUGCUUUACUGAAGCCUUUCCCUUGCUUGCGUGGGUUUGAAUCCCACCAAGGCCG